AGUUGCUCUUUAUUCUUAUCUCCAGGAAUUUUUUUCCUCAAAGAGAGGCUGUAGUGAUUUUCCUGGCAGGAUGUUGCUGUUGUAGCAGCAGAGGGCUGUGGGUCCUCACCAGAAAUGUCAGCCCUUUGCCAUGAGGCAGUGAGUCUGCAUCUGCAGUGCUUCUGAUGUGAGCUAUCAUGGCUUGGGGAGGAGAUUUUGUCAGGAGACAGCACUUUAGAGGCUUUCUAGGCAAGCAGCCACCAGGAAACAGCAGAGUCUCUACCUGGAAGUGGACAUAUCUUUAUCCCAGCUGGGUAUUCUCUCUGUGUUUUUGGUGAAUAUGAGGCUGUCCAUGUCUGCCCACUGGAUGGUGGUGAAUACAUGUCCCAUUGCCCACAUGGAUAAAUGGUUAAGAAUAGUUUGCAUGAUGCUGUACUGAACUUCCCACCUUGCUGUUUGCACAAGGGCUCCCCUCCAGCCUCCAAACA
Molecule: non-coding RNA, 467 nt
Organism: Zonotrichia albicollis (white-throated sparrow)
Lineage: Eukaryota; Metazoa; Chordata; Aves; Passeriformes; Passerellidae
Source: RefSeq, a predicted model, not a curated record